AGGAUGCUUCACUCAAGUCCUUUAUGAAAAAUUUACUUAAUAGCCAUAUCUUGAUCGAUUGUAAUAUUGAGAUAUCAUUCUCAAUGAGAAGUAUGUCAUCCAUAUAUAAAAUUAAGAAGACAAUGAUACUCCCACGUCUUCUUAUACAUACAAAGUUCAUCCAUAUUUUUGAUGAAGUCAAACUCUUUGACUGUAAUAUCAAAGUGGAUGUUUCAACUCCUCG
This 223-nucleotide long non-coding RNA is filed under the name Elaeis guineensis (African oil palm). RNAcentral describes it as "long non-coding RNA (EGUI_LNC024997)". The record is from RNAcentral. Lineage: Eukaryota; Viridiplantae; Streptophyta; Magnoliopsida; Arecales; Arecaceae.